This 578-nucleotide ribosomal RNA is filed under the name Bacillus siamensis. RNAcentral describes it as "bacterial SSU rRNA". It matches the Rfam family "Bacterial small subunit ribosomal RNA", at positions 77 to 639 of the family's 1533-position model. The record is from RNAcentral. Lineage: Bacteria; Bacillati; Bacillota; Bacilli; Caryophanales; Bacillaceae.
AACUUGCUCCCUGAUGUUAGCGGCGGACGGGUGAGUAACACGUGGGUAACCUGCCUGUAAGACUGGGAUAACUCCGGGAAACCGGGGCUAAUACCGGAUGGUUGUUUGAACCGCAUGGUUCAGACAUAAAAGGUGGCUUCGGCUACCACUUACAGAUGGACCCGCGGCGCAUUAGCUAGUUGGUGAGGUAACGGCUCACCAAGGCGACGAUGCGUAGCCGACCUGAGAGGGUGAUCGGCCACACUGGGACUGAGACACGGCCCAGACUCCUACGGGAGGCAGCAGUAGGGAAUCUUCCGCAAUGGACGAAAGUCUGACGGAGCAACGCCGCGUGAGUGAUGAAGGUUUUCGGAUCGUAAAGCUCUGUUGUUAGGGAAGAACAAGUGCCGUUCAAAUAGGGCGGCACCUUGACGGUACCUAACCAGAAAGCCACGGCUAACUACGUGCCAGCAGCCGCGGUAAUACGUAGGUGGCAAGCGUUGUCCGGAAUUAUUGGGCGUAAAGGGCUCGCAGGCGGUUUCUUAAGUCUGAUGUGAAAGCCCCCGGCUCAGCCGGGGAUGGUCAUUGGAAACUGGAGA